AUUUAUUGUGCAGACAAAAAAAGUGAUAAAUAGCAAGCUUUGUGAAUUUUACUGUUAACUCGGUUAGCACUGAUACUAUUAAAGUGUUGCAUGCAGUCUUGUUUUUGCUGUAAGAUAAACAGCUUAAACAAACUGCAAUGCAUGUAGUAGUCCCAGAAGAAUAGAUGGAGUUUACAGAAUAUAAUGUGAUGGGUCCAAAAAAAUUAAGAGAAGAGAAAAAUUAGCC
RNAcentral lists this long non-coding RNA (226 nucleotides) under Mytilus galloprovincialis (Mediterranean mussel). Lineage: Eukaryota; Metazoa; Mollusca; Bivalvia; Mytilida; Mytilidae. The record is from RNAcentral.